Molecule: ribosomal RNA, 253 nt
Filed under: uncultured Blautia sp.
Lineage: Bacteria; Bacillati; Bacillota; Clostridia; Lachnospirales; Lachnospiraceae
Description: partial 16S ribosomal RNA
Rfam family: Bacterial small subunit ribosomal RNA
Source: RNAcentral
UACGUAGGGGGCAAGCGUUAUCCGGAUUUACUGGGUGUAAAGGGAGCGUAGACGGCUGUGCAAGCCAGAUGUGAAAGCCCGGGGCUCAACCCCGGGACUGCAUUUGGAACUGUGUAGCUGGAGUGUCGGAGAGGCAGGCGGAAUGUGUAGUGUAGCGGUGAAAUGCAUAGAUAUUACACAGAACACCGAUUGCGAAGGCAGCUUGCUAGGCCGGAUCUGACACUGAUGCACGAAAGCGUGGGGAUCGAACAGG